This 253-nucleotide ribosomal RNA is filed under the name uncultured bacterium. RNAcentral's name for it is "partial 16S ribosomal RNA". It matches the Rfam family "Bacterial small subunit ribosomal RNA", at positions 524 to 776 of the family's 1533-position model. The record is from RNAcentral.
UACGGAGGAUGCAAGCGUUAUCCGGAAUGAUUGGGCGUAAAGCGUCCGCAGGUGGCAAUGUAAGUCUGCUGUUAAAGAGUCUAGCUCAACUAGAUAAAAGCAGUGGAAACUACAUAGCUAGGGUACGUUCGGGGCAGAGGGAAUUCCUGGUGUAGCGGUGAAAUGCGUAGAGAUCAGGAAGAACACCAGUGGCGAAGGCGCUCUGCUAGGCCGUAACUGACACUGAGGGACGAAAGCUAGGGGAGCGAAUGGG